Molecule: long non-coding RNA, 1677 nt
Organism: Rosa rugosa (rugosa rose)
Lineage: Eukaryota; Viridiplantae; Streptophyta; Magnoliopsida; Rosales; Rosaceae
Exons: 3
Source: RefSeq, a predicted model, not a curated record
GUUCUGUUAUUGUGCUUUCAAAAGAGUGUGCAUCUUUCAGGUGGUGCCUUCAUGAGCUUGUGACAAUCCUUGAACGCAAGAGGACCUCCUCCGGUCAACAUGUUCUACCAGUCUUCGACGACAUCGAUCCAUCUCAUGUGAGGAAGCAGGCAGAAAAUCUUGCAAAGAUUCCUACAUACCAAGACAAUCAGUGUUUGGAGAAGUUAAAUGACUGGCGGGCAGCUAAUAAAGUCUAGUCAUUCAUUAAUAUCUUUACUAAUCUUGAAUCUAAUUUCCUUUUGCUUGUAGGCAUUCUCUUCUGACCACAGUUUCAGGGUCAAGCUGGUAGUGGUGUUUAUAUGUCUUUUGUUGCUAGCGUGAUAUCAGCUCUGAAGAUGUUACAAGUUUACAAGAGUAUGGUGCUUCCACUAAAGGUAACUUGUAUAGAAAGUUUUUAAAAGCCAAGCUAUGAAUAUGCAGAACAUCCAUGGGACCAUAGCCUAUCCAUACAAAACCAAAAGUACAGAAUUUGGACAUAUUGUAUCUUUUCCCAAUGGUGGGUUGCAUGGACCCAACUUGACAGAGAUGAGUAUCUAUGAUUAUUGGAAAUUGGGUUCCUGGCUGCAACAUAUGCGCUCACUCCUCCCAUCUCUUAAGUUUUUGUCAGUAUCAGAUUGCCCAAAGUUUGUCAACUAUUGUGGAAGGGGAUUGCCUUCACGAUUAAAAUCAUUUGACAUCAGGCAUGGUAAAAAACUCAAUCCAAAAGUUAUGCAGAAUCCGAACAAGGGGCUCCGAAUACUCGCAUUGUCACUUGACUUUGGUAAACUCUUCUCCGGAAGAGGGGCUGUUUCCCAGCACUCUCACCCAUCUAACGAUCUACCGGGUCUAAAUCUUAAGACCAUGGAUGGCGCCAAGUGGUCUGGGCAUCUCAACUUUCUCGAAAUUUUGAAGAUUAGCUGUUUCUCUGCGCUUCAGUACUUUCCAGAUAGUGGACUACCUAGUUCUCUUAAAAUUUUGAAAAUAAGGUAUUGUUAUGCGCUGUAGUGCUUGCCUCGAAGUGGACUACCCACUUCUCCUAAGAUUUUGGAGAUUACGUAUUGCUCUGUGCUGCAGUGCUUGCCAGAAAAUGGGCUACCCAUUUGUCUUUGUGAAAUACAUAUCAUUGGAUGUCACUUGCUAGAGAAACUGUGCCAGAUAGAGUGGGGAAUAUUGGCCCAAGAUUGCUCACAUCCCCCACAAAAUGAUCACUUCCAGGCGUUGAGGCUGUCCCAAUUCUUGUAAUCAUCAUCGUAAUCAUAUGCAAUUACCUGUCAGCAUCUCAGUAAGCAAUCUUUUUUUAGGGUCUCAACUCUUGGACCUCCUGGAGAACCGUAUGUUAAAAGAAGGCUAAGAAUGCUCACAUGCCCAAUGUUCGGAUGUCUUGCUGGCAUCAGUUGUAAUUGUAAUUAUCAAAUUCUAAGGUUUUACUGCAAUCUAUGCAUCUUUUAAUCUUUUGCAUUGUAAUUUGUAACACAUAAGUCGGGUUUGUAUUGAACUUCUAAUAGACUUUUGAACUCGAGUCCACAAUAAUGCCUCAAAGAAAAUGGAAUUGAAGCCUUAGGCAUUGCAUUUUGUAAAAGAUGGCUUAUAUAUCCUCUAUAUUCUGUUCUCUACAUGCAACAUCUCAGUAACUAAAAUUUGUAACCCCUCAUCUCAGCA